Molecule: unclassified non-coding RNA, 213 nt
Filed under: Hevea brasiliensis (rubber tree)
Lineage: Eukaryota; Viridiplantae; Streptophyta; Magnoliopsida; Malpighiales; Euphorbiaceae
Source: RNAcentral
GAAACUUAACUUUCCGGAGUUGAAAAUUAGCAAUAGCAUUAGAUGGAAUACUCUUGGCUAUGCGUAAAAAACCCUGAAAGAGACCAGCACAACUUAUAUCAUCUGCUUUUUCUUUGGAAUUUGCUUAACAUCAUCACAAGUUUAUCAUCGUUGAAGUUUCUUUAAAAUAUUUUAUACUUGUUCUGGUAUUGAUGUGUAGCUAUUGUCUGUUUU